AUUGAACGCUGGCGGCAGGCCUAACACAUGCAAGUCGAACGAGUGGCGGACGGGUGAGUAAUGUCUGGGAAACUGCCCGAUGGAGGGGGAUAACUACUGGAAACGGUAGCUAAUACCGCAUACCCUCGGAUGUGCCCAGAUGGGAUUAGCUAGUAGGUGGGGUAACGGCUCACCUAGGCGACGAUCCCUAGCUGGUCUGAGAGGAUGACCAGCCAACAUGGAAAUGAGACACGGUCCAGAAUCCUAAGGGAGGCAGCAGUGGGGAAUAAUGGACAAUGGGCGCAAGCCUGAUGCAGCCAAGCCGGGUGGAUGAAGAAGGCCUUCGGGUUGGAAAGUACUUUCAGCGAGGAGGCGUUACUCGCAGAAGAAGCACCGGCUAACUCCGUGCCAGCAGCCGCGGUAAUAC
This 406-nucleotide ribosomal RNA is filed under the name uncultured bacterium. RNAcentral's name for it is "partial 16S ribosomal RNA". It matches the Rfam family "Bacterial small subunit ribosomal RNA", at positions 29 to 526 of the family's 1533-position model. The record is from RNAcentral.